This 303-nucleotide ribosomal RNA is filed under the name uncultured bacterium. RNAcentral describes it as "partial 16S ribosomal RNA". It matches the Rfam family "Bacterial small subunit ribosomal RNA", at positions 507 to 809 of the family's 1533-position model. The record is from RNAcentral.
AGCAGUCGCCACGGUAAUACGUAGGGUGCAAGCGUUAAUCGGAAUUACUGGGCGUAAAGCGUGCGUAGGCGGCUUUUUAAGUCGGAUGUGAAAUCCCUGAGCUUAACUUAGGAAUUGCAUUCGAUACUGGGAAGCUAGAGUAUGGGAGAGGAUGGUAGAAUUCCAGGUGUAGCGGUGAAAUGCGUAGAGAUCUGGAGGAAUACCGAUGGCGAAGGCAGCCAUCUGGCCUAAUACUGACUCUGAGGUACGAAAGCAUGGGGAGCAAACAGGAUUAGAUACCCCCGUAGUCCCUGUCUCUUAUAA